RNAcentral lists this long non-coding RNA (754 nucleotides) under Gossypium barbadense (sea-island cotton). RNAcentral describes it as "long non-coding RNA (GBAR_LNC020189)". The record is from RNAcentral. Lineage: Eukaryota; Viridiplantae; Streptophyta; Magnoliopsida; Malvales; Malvaceae.
UUUUACUUUUUUUCCCUGCCAGACUCUCCACCUUCCUACUUUCCUUUUUACUUUUUUUCUCGCUGACCUUCACCAAAAAUUGUGCCUGACAUUAUUUUUAUAUAUUAUUCUGUUAUAAAGGCAAAAAGUCAUAUGGCAUUUAUUAUCCCUAUUAUUUAUUGAUUUAUUUCAAACGUUUUCUUCUCUCUUUCUUCUAUCCUCGUCAUCUUCUACCCUGUUUAUCUUUUCCUUUCAUUUCAGCAAAUCAAAGUUUUUUUCCUCUUCUCAGUAAUAACCCACAGCCGUGUCCACCUUUUUUCGACGGAUCUGAUCCGUAACCCAUGUCAAAUCGUGUCAACACAGGUACGGCACCCCAAAAAGCCAAGUCCGGGUAACGAAGUUCAUCAUUACCAACCAAUUCUCGCUAUCAAGUUAAAUACUUGAGGUUUAAGGUUUAAAGAAAUGGUAGAAUUUCAUGAAAACUGAUAAAUGCCAGGGAGAUAACUGAGAAUCUGUGAGUUUUAAUAACUAGUGACUAGAAUGUUGUUUAACGAAGUUCAUCAUUACCAAUUCUCGCUAUCAAGUUAAAUACUUGAGGUUUAAGGUUUAAAGAAAUGGUAGAAUUUCAUGAAAACUGAUAAAUGCCAGGGAGAUAACAGAGAAUCUGUGAGUUUUAAUAACUAGUGACUAGAAUGUUGUUUUGCAGGUUACCAUGAAUGAACAGGCUAGCAGAUAUUCAAAGCAAUCACAACUUAACAUGAGUGUGUUAAGGAUA